UUCAAGAGGGAGUGAUGGAAUCGAGAUACGCAAAUGUAAACUUAAUUACGGAAUGUAACCUUGUUGCGAUACAGUUGUUGCGUUAUAUCUAGGGGCCGUUAAAUGGGCCAGGCUUUGGCUUAUCAAAGUACAAUGGGUAAACUCUUUGCCCCCCAAGACUAUCUAACAUCAUAAUCCUUCAUCACCUAAAAUUGAAUCAUGAACUCGUAAGAACUAAAAACUUAUUGUUAAGCUAAACUAGACCUAUUUCAAAAAUAGGUUAGCAAAACGGGGAGUGGAACCCUUUCAGUGAAAAUUUAGAUUUUUAAGUACGGAAAUGCAUGAUUAUGCAACUAUUUUUAUUUUUCUCAGAUGUCUUAUCGGUAAAAUGGUUGAGGAGGAGGAAAGAAGCACAUAUUUUGUCAUUAAAAACAAUACAGCUUCAGAGAUUACCUAUCAAAUCAAGUUGCUGAACUCAUCGUCGAUUAAUUCAAAUAGUAGAACCUGAUGGAGAUCGUCCAUUCCCUAACCAAGUUAGCGAGGAAUCCACCUAUGUAAGUUUUCAAAAACAAAUAAACAUUUGAGAAAAUAAAGUGAGAAAUCAAUGAAUAAAUCAUACACAUGAAAGACUUAAGCUACACAUUUGCACAACCUGCUGAAUAUUAACUCUAUCAUCCAUCUCUUGUGUUUUUUGUUAUGUGUAGAAAUGUGCUUAAAAACAUGAGGAAUCAUGUUGCAUUACAGUUUGAUAUGCAAAAAAAGUUUAACAAUCUACAACUUAUGUCUUAAGAAUCAUAGAAGAGAAGAUAGUUCAAGAAUGAUUACAAUGGGCUCUUCUCAAGACAUGAAAAGAAUGUCAGGAUACCAACUAUGAUUGCUUGCUUACUUGAACAUUUUCAAGGAAUUGGUGUACAUGACCAUAACCAUUAACAAAACCUCUAUGAUUGCUUCCUUACUAUGGAUUUUAAAUCUUCUGUUAUAAAUCCUAAUUGAAUACCUCUAAACUUUUGAAAUCCACCAUCUUUUUUUUUUUUAAUCCAAUGGCUAGAACGGCGUCCCUCACGCCAUAAUCAUUAACAAAACCUCAAAAUACAAGGGGGUACAUUGUGCCUAAACCUCAUACUGUAAGAACACCCUAAAAACAUAUUAGGCAUGUCUACAAAAUUUAUACAUUCUAGCAAGCACCAUUUAGCAAAGAGUGCACCAUUGGCUACUCCAUUUGCUUUACAAAUUUGGCGACAUACCGGAAAAAAGCUGCUCAUGCAAAGCCAUAAGUUAUAAUGUCUAUCAGCUUUCCGGUUAUGAUGCCACUGAAAAUUACCAUUGACCCUAUAUUUUAUCUUGCCACUAGGAGGCUGCGACUAUUUAACAAAGAAAGGAACUCGCUGUCUUAUUUGGGAAAACAUGACACACUGCGUUCACUUACCCGGGCAUAGCCCACCAGGAUCCAAAAAUAAAGAAAAACAAUAAAGCAUACACAAAAAGGAGCACCUAUUAGGGCGCGCAUUGCCCUUCAUUAGCUAUACGAAACUGGCGACUUAUUUCCACACCUAACCCAAUUAGAAUUAAAAAAAUAAAACACAAGACCAAAAACGUAGUAAAUACCAAAACCAAAACUAGGCUUGCAAGCCAAAUCGAGGCCAUGAAGCCCAAAGCCAGAUCAAGGUCCACCGGCCCACCAAAUUUGACCCACAUCAGCAGCUACAUCACCAUCACCUCCCCGCCGAUCUGGGACCACCACAGCACCGCCGACCUCAGGUCUUUGCCCACGGAUCGCCUCGCCAUCGAACCAAUAACCACCAGAUAUGGUGAGCGGUUCAAUCACCUACCUCCCCUGGUAAGAAUAUGAUCUAUAAACCACACUAGAGACUCCACAAGACCUCUUUGUCGGCGUAAAGGUCUGUUCUCCCCCACACCGCUCGCCACCCUCUCUUGACAGAUCGGGAAUUGAAUCUGAAAAUCCGAAACGAAUCUGCCAAUCACCACAUCACAUCACCAAACCCAUCUCAUCCUCCUCCGUCGACGACUGGUCACCACCCCGCCCCAGACCGGAUCUACGACCACUGCAAUCUCGCUCCACUGCCAAACCACUGCAACCACCCACUCUGAACAAGAAGAUCGGCCGAGAAAACCACCUAACUGCUUCCUUAGUGCACCAGGCUCGCUCUCGACCCACACAACCCGUCCGGCAGCCCCCAACAAACGUUGACGAGGCCAGAGGCCAUCCCCAACGCCUUGGAGCCGCUGGACAGGCGAAGAAGAUACCAAAGGCUCGACCUAGGGUUACAGCGCGUGGAGGCGCGUUCCCCUCAGUCAGAAAACUAGCUCGUUUCUUUUUAUUUGUCAACUGACAUCCACAAAAGUCUUUAAAACAUCAUGAAAAUUCAAAUACAAUACACCCACCCCUUAGUUUUUCAUAAAAGUAAAUUAGAGGUCUAUGAAUAUAUAGAAUUAUGAAGCUCUCUACGAGUUUUAGUUAAAUAAAAGAAAAGCCCCGUAUCUGUUACAAAAAAAAAAAAAACCGUAAAUAAUUAAGUUUUUAACAAUUGAAGUUAUAGUAUUGAUUAAGCUAGCGUCAUAAAUGUUUUCGUUAAGAUUUUAUAGUUAUAUACUUGUAACUUACUCACUGUGUGAUAUGAUUACUGAUCUCAACCUUUGAUUCGUGUGUUAUUCUCCAUGAUCGAUCCAAAACUAAAUUACCCCAAAAUAAACAAAAAAAAAAAAAAAUCGAUCAUGGCAGAAUCCUAAAGCUCAUUGCCUUCAAACGAGCAAGACUGAAUUCAUGCAUGCCAAAUUAAUGAGAAAACGAAAUUAACGAGCCAAA
Molecule: long non-coding RNA, 2803 nt
Filed under: Fragaria vesca (wild strawberry)
Lineage: Eukaryota; Viridiplantae; Streptophyta; Magnoliopsida; Rosales; Rosaceae
Description: long non-coding RNA (FVES_LNC002081)
Source: RNAcentral